This 771-nucleotide long non-coding RNA is filed under the name Carica papaya (papaya). RNAcentral describes it as "long non-coding RNA (CPAP_LNC007126)". The record is from RNAcentral. Lineage: Eukaryota; Viridiplantae; Streptophyta; Magnoliopsida; Brassicales; Caricaceae.
CGGCACAGAAGUAAAGGUUGGUAGAAAACCAAAAACAACGAAUGGAGCACAAAUUUUAAACCAAUACAUUCAUUAAAACUAAAACCAUUUACCAUUUUGCUUACCAUUGGGGAAUCUGUGAAAACAACCUAUAAAGACAAUAACAUCAUACAUAUCAUAACUUUAUGCACAAUCAGUAACAUAGAACAUAUCAUAAAUUCAUAUUCAUUAACAAUAACUAAUCAUCACUGUUUCUCAUUUCACCAGCCUACUAGUAUCCAUGGAGAUCCAUAGGGGUGUUCCCGCUACACGUGAACCAUUUUUCUUAACAAUCUUGAUUCCAAGGUCGUCCCCAUACCCCAUCCGGUAUGAGCACCAAGACAUUAAACCUCAAUACCCAAUCCGAUAUGAGGGUGAAGCGGGUCGUCCCCAUACCCUAUCCAGUAUGAGCGCCAAAUGACCAAGUCUCCAUACUACGUCCGGUAUGAGACAACGUUCACAGUAGGGUUCCCUAUGAACCCGAUAUGUUUACCAUCUCUCAGGAUAUCUAGUGAGGCUGUCAUCUUAUAUGUUUAUUGGAUCACAUCCCUUUUCUGUUUCUCCUUAAUCUCCGUUACCAAAUUAAACACAAUCACAUAAACAAUGAACAUGCACCCGGUAAUACAAUUAUAUCUUAAAUCCCAAAAUCACACAGUGGUCAAGUGAGACAGUAAUACAUGCAUUUAAAACCCUAAACCAGAUACCAUCAUGCCUUUAAACUGUAAAAUAAAUCAACAGAGAACAAUGUCCGAU